Molecule: ribosomal RNA, 1009 nt
Filed under: uncultured bacterium
Lineage: Bacteria
Description: bacterial SSU rRNA
Rfam family: Bacterial small subunit ribosomal RNA
Source: RNAcentral
CCUGCAAACUACGUGCCAGCAGCGCGGUUAGACGUAGGGGGCAAGCGUGUCCGGAAUUACUGGGCGUAAAGGGCGUGUAGGCGGUUUCACACGUAGCGGUUUUCAGCCGCCGGCUCACCGGCGGGAGGGCAGCUAAACGGUGGAACUGAGGGCAGGAGAGGUGCACGGGAUUUCCUGGUGGAGCGGUGAAAAUGCGUAGAGAUCAGGGAAGAACACCGGUGGCGAAGGGCGGUGCACUGGCCUGGCCCUGACGCUGAGGCGCGACAGCGUGGGGAGCGAACGGGAUUAGAUACCCCGGUAGUCCACGCCGUAAACGAUGGAUACUAGGUGUCGCGGGGGUCCACCCGGCGGUGCCGGAGCUAACGCACUAAGUAUCCCGCCUGGGGAGUACGGCCGCAAGGUUGAAACUCAAAGGAAUUGACGGGGGCCCGCACAAGCAGUGGAGCAUGUGGUUUAAUUCGACGCAACGCGCAGAACCUUACCAGGACUAGACGGGAUCAUGAGCGCCGCGAAAGCGGCGGGCUCCUUCGGGAGAGUGGUCGUCAGGUGCUGCAUGGUUGUCGUCAGCUCGUGUCGUGAGAUGUUGGGUUAAGUCCCGCAACGAGCGCAACCCUCGUCGGAUGUUGCCAGCGCCUAGGGCGGGCACUCAUCCGAGACUGCCGGUGACAAACCGGAGGAAGGUGGGGAUGACGUCAAAUCCGCAUGGCCUUUAUGUCCUGGGCCACACACGUGCUACAAUGGCGCCGACAACGGGCCGCGACCUCGCGAGGGGGAGCGAAUCCUUCAAACGGCGUCUCAGUUCGGAUCGCAGGCUGCAACCCGCCUGCGUGAAGCCGGAAUUGCUAGUAAUCGCGGAUCAGCAUGCCGCGGUGAAUUCGUUCCCGGGCCUUGUACACACCGCCCGUCACACCACGAGAGUCGGCCACACCCGAAGCCGGUCGGUCGAACCCGCAAGGGACGACCCCGUCGACGGUGGGGUGGAUGAUUGGGGUGAAGUCGUAACAAGGUA